This 377-nucleotide ribosomal RNA is filed under the name uncultured eukaryote. RNAcentral describes it as "partial 18S ribosomal RNA". It matches the Rfam family "Eukaryotic small subunit ribosomal RNA", at positions 592 to 976 of the family's 1831-position model. The record is from RNAcentral.
CAAUAGCGUAUAUUAAAGUUGUUGCAGUUAAAAAGCUCGUAGUUGGAUUUCGGGGCAGCCUGGCUGGUCCGCCGCAAGGCGAGUACUGGUCAGCCGCCCUUCCUCUCGAAAGCCCCGACUGCUCUUUAUUGCGGUGGUCGGGUAGUUCGGGACGUUUACUUUGAAAAAAUUAGAGUGUUCAAGGCAGGCCUACGCCUGAAUACAUUAGCAUGGAAUAAUGGAAGAGGACCUCGGUCCUAUUUUGUUGGUUUCCAGGACCGAAGUAAUGAUUAAGAGGGACAGUUGGGGGCAUUCGUAUUUAAUUGUCAGAGGUGAAAUUCUCGGAUUUAUGAAAGACGAACAACUGCGAAAGCAUUUGCCAAGGAUGUUUUCAUUAA